CUUUGAUCGGAGGCUCUGGAAGGAUGGGAUCCUUCAAAUAGCAUAAGUAGUUUAUUUUUAACAGAUACAUGUAUGCAAAUAUUACUUAAACAUAAAUCUGGAAAAUAUUUAACUUAGCUGAGUUGUGUUGGAGAGAGCAAUAAGUUUCUCAGAGAUCCCAAGAUGAAAAGAAAUUUACGUAGGAAGUCAGAGUGUUAAUAAAGUGUCUCUGGAAUGGAAACUAUCAUGUACACUUCACUAUUUCAGCUGGUAAAAUCAUUUUAUCUUUUUUUCUUGUCAAUUAUGGAUAGGCUUAAGAUUUAUCUGAAGAAAGAAGGGGAAAAGUUUCUGUAGAAUAUGUCGUCUAAUGAUGAUGUUUUCUACUUUAUUUUAUAAUGUUUGCUGGUAGAGGAUCAUUCACAAAGAAGAACAAGUAUAAUAUAGGUAAGAAAAGAUCUGAAAGUCAUGCAGAAGCUAGGCAUCUGACUGCUCAACCUGAAGAGACCUUAUCUGAGCAUAGUCUUGUACUAUGAAUUCAAUCAGAAGCUGGUCUUGUCAGAUUUCCACCGUAAGCCAAUUAUAUUCUAUAUGCACAUAUAUCAAGAUGUCAGGAGGUCAUACACUGGAAAGAUAUUAGGUGAUGUCUAAUUUCAUGCACAAAAUGCACAUGACAAUCCUCAUUUCUCCUGUUUACAUUCUCACUUUCUUACAUUCCUUUUGUAUACAUUUUUAAUCUUUUCCUGAUGUAAAAAUUGAUUUCAAUCUUGAGUCCUUUAAAUUUUGUAUUUUCAGCCCUUUCAAUGAUAAUGAACUUCCAACUCUAAUUUAAGUAUUUCUCAUAAUGCACACAUCCAUUAUUCACAAAUUUGCAUAAUACCUACUAGAUCCUAGACAUCUUGUAAGCACUUUAAUAAACAACAACAACAAGUGCGUAAAUUCCA
RNAcentral lists this long non-coding RNA (920 nucleotides) under Mus spicilegus (steppe mouse). RNAcentral's name for it is "lncRNA (ENSMSIG00000029600.1)". Lineage: Eukaryota; Metazoa; Chordata; Mammalia; Rodentia; Muridae. The record is from RNAcentral.